Molecule: long non-coding RNA, 684 nt
Filed under: Phascolarctos cinereus (koala)
Lineage: Eukaryota; Metazoa; Chordata; Mammalia; Diprotodontia; Phascolarctidae
Description: lncRNA (ENSPCIG00000007111.2)
Source: RNAcentral
UGAUUGUUCUCGCUUUUUCACCCGGCUCCUUAAGGAGGUGGAUUUGUAACUGAAAGGCCCAGGCCUUCAGUAAAUAUUACACCAAAUGUCUCCACCCUAAGGAAAUAUUCUUUCUGCUUUCUGCACAAGCUGUCAUCUUUAUUAUACCAGAAAGUGGCAAACAGCUCUGUCCCAUAUUUAGCAGACUGCAGAAACAACAAUGACUACAACAAAAAAGACCCGAGGACAAUUCGGUGAACCGACCCUGUGCCUCAUCCCAGAAAUGACUCCCAACUCAGAUGACUCAUACCAUCCGUGUUUUGUCCCCAUUUACUCAGCCUCACAGUUCUACCCGCUUCAGUAGAGUGUGAUGUUCUGUGACUUAGAGCUCACCAGAAGAAUACUGACAUUCUUUCAAAUGAGCAGUCCUCAAAUGUGGCACACAGCCCUAUAGGGGUCCCUUAGACCCUUCCAGGGAGUCUUCAAGGUAAAAAAAUUUUCAUCAUAAUACUGACUAAUAUUAAAAUACUCCUCUCUUUUCUAACUGCUGUACAUAUCUGUUUGGGGCUGGAUUUUCUUCAUAACCCAAACAAUAUAUCGUAACAGAUUGAAUACAGAAGCAGAGAUGGGAAUCCAGCUGUUUUUUAUUAAGCCAGACAUUAAAGAGAUUUGCAAAAAUAUGUAAAAUGGUGCCACUCUUCUCAC